Arachis duranensis is the source of this 322-nucleotide long non-coding RNA. RefSeq lists it as uncharacterized. The record is from RefSeq and is a predicted model, not a curated record. Lineage: Eukaryota; Viridiplantae; Streptophyta; Magnoliopsida; Fabales; Fabaceae. The transcript has 3 exons.
UCAGCAAAGGGGAAAGAGCACUUUUGCUUCACCAAAAACCCUUGGCUUUGAUUAAAUCCAUAUAACUUCUCACUCCGAGUUCCGAUCACCACAUUGUUUGCGGCCACGCGACCACCACGUUGAGCUCUACGAUUCUACCGAAAUAAUUUCAUAGGCUCAAAUUAACUUGAGAAAAAUAUUCACUCUUGCUUGUGUGAUGCUUGGAUAAGGCUAGUAUAUGUGUAUAUUGAAGUUGAUUGAGUACAUUGGAGGCUUGGUGGAGAUUGGGAGGUCUUGCCUUGGAGAUUUUGAACCUUGAGGGUUGCUUUUGGUGCCUUGCUGG